This 253-nucleotide ribosomal RNA is filed under the name uncultured bacterium. RNAcentral describes it as "partial 16S ribosomal RNA". It matches the Rfam family "Bacterial small subunit ribosomal RNA", at positions 524 to 776 of the family's 1533-position model. The record is from RNAcentral.
UACGGGGGGAGCAAGCGUUGUUCGGAUUUACUGGGCGUAAAGGGCGCGUAGGCGGCGUGACAAGUCACUUGUGAAAUCUCCGGGCUUAACUCGGAACGGUCAAGUGAUACUGUCGUGCUAGAGUACAGAAGGGGCAACUGGAAUUCUCGGUGUAGCGGUGAAAUGCGUAGAUAUCGAGAGGAACACCUGCGGCGAAGGCGGGUCUCUGGACAGUUCCUGACGCUGAGGCGCGAAGGCCAGGGGAGCAAACGGG